Molecule: ribosomal RNA, 253 nt
Filed under: uncultured bacterium
Lineage: Bacteria
Description: partial 16S ribosomal RNA
Rfam family: Bacterial small subunit ribosomal RNA
Source: RNAcentral
CACGUAGGGCGCAAGCGUUGUCCGGAAUUAUUGGGCGUAAAGAGCUCGUAGGCGGACUGUCACGUCUGCUGUGAAAAGCUGGGGCUUAACCCUGGCCUUGCAGUGGAUACGGGCAGACUAGAGGUAGGUAGGGGAGACUGGAAUUCCUGGUGUAGCGGUGAAAUGCGCAGAUAUCAGGAGGAACACCGGUGGCGAAGGCGGGUCUCUGGGCCGUAACUGACGCUGAGGAGCGAAAGCAUGGGGAGCGAACAGG